RNAcentral lists this ribosomal RNA (492 nucleotides) under uncultured bacterium. Its description in RNAcentral is "partial 16S ribosomal RNA". It matches the Rfam family "Bacterial small subunit ribosomal RNA", at positions 29 to 507 of the family's 1533-position model. The record is from RNAcentral.
AGUGAACGCUGGCGGUAGGCCUAACACAUGCAAGUCGAACGGCAGCACAGUAAGAGCUUGCUCUUACGGGUGGCGAGUGGCGGACGGGUGAGGAAUACAUCGGAAUCUACUUUUUCGUGGGGGAUAACGUAGGGAAACUUACGCUAAUACCGCAUACGACCUACGGGUGAAAGCAGUGGAUCUUCGGACCUUGCGCGAUUGAAUGAGCCGAUGUCGGAUUAGCUAGUUGGCGGGGUAAAGGCCCACCAAGGCGACGAUCCGUAGCUGGUCUGAGAGGAUGAUCAGCCACACUGGAACUGAGACACGGUGCAGACUCCUACGGGAGGCAGCAGUGGGGAAUAUUGGACAAUGGGCGCAAGCCUGAUCCAGCCAUACCGCGUGGGUGAAGAAGGCCUUCGGGUUGUAAAGCCCUUUUGUUGGGAAAGAAAAGCAGCAGGUUAAUACCCCGCUGUUCUGACGGUACCCAAAGAAUAAGCACCGGCUAACUUCGUG